RNAcentral lists this transfer RNA (80 nucleotides) under Leucosporidium creatinivorum. Its description in RNAcentral is "tRNA-Leu". It matches the Rfam family "tRNA". Rfam says of the family: Transfer RNA (tRNA) molecules are approximately 80 nucleotides in length. Lineage: Eukaryota; Fungi; Basidiomycota; Microbotryomycetes; Leucosporidiales; Leucosporidiaceae. The record is from RNAcentral.
GGGAAGAUGUAGAGUGGUCUAAGGCGCCACGUUCAGGUCGUGGUCCAGAAAUGGGCGUGGGUUCGAACCCACUCUUCCUG